UGAACUGUGGGGACACGUAAGGAAAGCGGAAGCCGGGAAUGGAAAGCCCGGUGCAAGCGGGGUACCAGUCACUUUGGCAAAUCCGGGUGGCAAUGGGAAGCCGUGAUGCGGAGUGAAAUAAAGUAACGAAGUCCGUGAGCCAUGCGUCAAGAAAAGCCGCCAUCGUUUAUACCGUACCCGUACCGUAAACCGACACAGGUGGAUGAGGAGAGAAUCCUAAGGCCGGCGGAAGAAGCAUUGUCAAGGAACUCGGCAAAAUGGCCCCGUAACUUAGGGAUAAGGGGUGCCUGGGAAACCAGGCCGCAGAGAAUAGGCUCAAGCAACUGUUUAGCAAAAACACAGGUCUAUGCGAAACCGAAAGGUGAGGUAUAUGGGCUGACGCCUGCCCGGUGCUGGAAGGUUAAGAGGAGAGGUUAGCGCAAGCGAAGCUUUGAAUUUAAGCCCCAGUAAACGGCGGCCGUAACGAUAACGGUCCUAAGGUAGCGAAAUUCCUUGUCGGGUAAGUUCCGACCCGCACGAAAGGCGUAAUGAUUUGAGCGCUGUCUCGACAAUGCAUCCGGUGAAAUUGAAGUACCAGUGAAGAUGCUGGUUACCUGCGCCAGGACGGAAAGACCCCAUGGAGCUUUACUCCAGUUUGGUACUGGGACUCGGUAUUGCAUGUACAGGAUAGGUGGGAGGCUAGGAGACAGUAACGCCAGUUAUUGUGGAGCCGCUGUUGGGAUACCACCCUUGCAGUAUUGGGUUUCUAACCAGCCGCCGUGACCCGGCGGUGGGACAAUGCCAGACGGGGAGUUUGACUGGGGCGGUCGCCUCCGAAAGGGUAUCGGAGGCGCCCAAAGGUUCCCUCAGAAUGGACGGAAACCAUUCGAAGAGUGCAAAGGCAGAAGGGAGCUUGACUGCGACACCGACGGGUGGAGCAGGUACGAAAGUAGGGCUUAGUGAUCCGGUGGUAUUAAGUGGGAAUGCCAUCGCUCAACGGAUAAAAGCUACCCUGGGAUAACAGGCUUAUCACUCCCAAGAGUUCACAUCGACGGAGUGGUUUGGCACCUCGAUGUCGGCUCAUCGCGUCCUGGGGCUGUAGUAGGUCCCAAGGGUUGGGCUGUUCGCCCAUUAAAGCGGUACGCGAGCUGGGUUCAGAACGUCGUGAGACAGUUCGGUCCCUAUCCGGCGUGGGCGUAGGAUAUCUGAGAGGAGCUGUCCUUAGUACGAGAGGACCGGGAUGGACGGGCCGCUGGUGCAUCGGUUAGACUGCCAAGUCUACGGCCGAGUAGCCAAGCCCGGAAGGGAUAAACGCUGAAGGCAUCUAAGCGUGAAGCCCCCCUUAAGAUGAGAUAUCCCAUUCGAAAGAAGUAAACCCCCUUGAAGACGACGAGGUAGAUAGGGCAGAGGUGGAAGUGUGGCAGCACAUGGAGCUGACUGUUACUAAUCGGGUGAGGGCUUGACC
Molecule: ribosomal RNA, 1444 nt
Filed under: metagenome
Description: bacterial LSU rRNA
Rfam family: Bacterial large subunit ribosomal RNA
Source: RNAcentral